GUGAAAUAGCACGUAUACAGUAUAUGUGUUUGCCUCGUUCUUUGAAAGACAUGUAUAUAGCUUACCCAGACUUUUAUAAUAGCGCAGUUAUAUAGUUAUUACGUAAUCAUUUUUACUUCGUAUCAUCGUAUCAGGCAAAAAUAUAGCUUACCCAGACUUUUAUAAUAGCGCAGUUAUAUAGUUAUUACGUAAUCAUUUUCACUUCGUAUCAUCGUAUCAUCGUAUCAGGCAAAAAUAUAGCUUACCCAGACUUUUAUAAUAGCGCAGUUAUAUAGUUAUUACGUAAUCAUUUUCGCAUCGUAUCAUCGUAUCAGCCAAAAAUAUAGCUUACCCAGACUUUUAUAGUAGCGCAAAUAUAUAGUUAUUACGUAAUCAUUUUCACUUCGUAUCAUCGUAUCAUCGUAUCAGACAAAAAUAUAGCUUACCCAGACUUUUAUAAUAGCGCAGUUAUAUAGUUAUUACGUAAUCAUUUUCACUUCGUAUCAUCGUAUCAUCGUAUCAGGCAAAAAUAUAGCUUACCCAGACUUUUAUAAUAGCGCAGUUAUAUAGUUAUUACGUAAUCAUUUUCACUUCGUAUCAUCGUAUCAUCGUAUCAGGCAAAAAUAUAGCUUACCCAGACUUUUAUAAUAGCGCAGUUAUAUAGUUAUUACGAAAUCAUUUUCACUUCGUAUCAUCGUAUCAUGGUAUCAGGCAAAAAUAUAGCUUACCCAGACUUUUAUAGUAGCGCAAAUAUAUAGUUAUUACGUAAUCAUUUUCACUUCGUAUCAUCGUAUCAUGAUAACAGGUGAGGUCUUCAAAAGUGGACGGGUAUUCUGCAAUCGCUCCAAUCAUUGAUAUUCAUUGUAGAGAUAAAGCUUUCAUGACUUGCUUAGUUAAUACCUUUUGUCUGGUUUGUUCAAGCAGGGCGAAUAUGAUUUCUUCUUCACCCUGUGUUUCUGGGUUUCUUGACUUUGGCUUAUGGCGCGGAAAUAUAGAUGCCAUCGCGUCUGGUUUGAGCUUUGGCUUUUGUUGGAAGCAACGCACAAAUUCUAGCGUUCUUGCGAAGUAUAUUCAGGCAUAAAUGCGCCGACGCCGAAUAAACAGAUGAAUGUAAUAUCUAAAUCGCGUAGGUUUUACUCUGCAAAUAAUUUCUCGCCAGCCACGCUCGUCGCAAACCUUUUUCUUUGGGAUUCUGUUGUGGCUUAUUCCCACAGUUUUCCGUGCCACUCUGGAACCAAGC
Non-coding RNA from Paramuricea clavata, 1219 nucleotides. The record is from the annotation of a GenBank genome assembly. Lineage: Eukaryota; Metazoa; Cnidaria; Anthozoa; Malacalcyonacea; Plexauridae.